RNAcentral lists this ribosomal RNA (309 nucleotides) under uncultured bacterium. Its description in RNAcentral is "bacterial SSU rRNA". It matches the Rfam family "Bacterial small subunit ribosomal RNA", at positions 28 to 334 of the family's 1533-position model. The record is from RNAcentral.
GAUGAACGCUAGCGGCAGGCCUAAUACAUGCAAGUCGAGGGGUAACAGGAGAGCUUGCUCUCGCUGACGACCGGCGGACGGGUGCGUAACGCGUAUGAAAUCUGCCCCAAAGAGAGGGAUAGCCUAUGGAAACGUAGAGUAAUACCUUAUGUUAUUACAGAGUCGCAUGACUUUGUAAUUAAAGCUCCGGCGCUUUGGGAUGAUCAUGCGUAGCAUUAGCUAGUUGGUGGGGUAAAAGCUCACCAAGGCGACGAUGCUUAGCGGGUCUGAGAGGAUGAUCCGCCACACUGGGACUGAGACACGGCCCAG